Molecule: ribosomal RNA, 844 nt
Filed under: uncultured Bacteroidota bacterium
Lineage: Bacteria; Pseudomonadati; Bacteroidota
Description: bacterial SSU rRNA
Rfam family: Bacterial small subunit ribosomal RNA
Source: RNAcentral
AGUAACGCGUAUGCAAUCUACCUUUUACAGAGGGAUAGCCCAGAGAAAUUUGGAUUAAUACCUCAUAGUAUAGCAGCUUCGCAUGAAGCCACUAUUAAAGUCACAACGGUAAAAGAUGAGCAUGCGUCCCAUUAGCUAGUUGGUAAGGUAACGGCUUACCAAGGCUACGAUGGGUAGGGGUCCUGAGAGGGAGAUCCCCCACACUGGUACUGAGACACGGACCAGACUCCUACGGGAGGCAGCAGUGAGGAAUAUUGGACAAUGGGCGCAAGCCUGAUCCAGCCAUGCCGCGUGCAGGAUGACGGUCCUAUGGAUUGUAAACUGCUUUUGUACGAGAAGAAACAUUCCGACGUGUCGGAGCUUGACGGUAUCGUAAGAAUAAGGAUCGGCUAACUCCGUGCCAGCAGCCGCGGUAAUACGGAGGAUCCAAGCGUUAUCCGGAAUCAUUGGGUUUAAAGGGUCCGUAGGCGGUUUAGUAAGUCAGUGGUGAAAGCCCAUCGCUCAACGGUGGAACGGCCAUUGAUACUGCUGAACUUGAAUUAUUAGGAAGUAACUAGAAUAUGUAGUGUAGCGGUGAAAUGCUUAGAGAUUACAUGGAAUACCAAUUGCGAAGGCAGGUUACUACUAAUUGAUUGACGCUGAUGGACGAAAGCGUGGGUAGCGAACAGGAUUAGAUACCCUGGUAGUCCACGCCGUAAACGAUGGAUACUAGCUGUUGGAAGCAAUUUCAGUGGCUAAGCGAAAGUGAUAAGUAUCCCACCUGGGGAGUACGUUCGCAAGAAUGAAACUCAAAGGAAUUGACGGGGGCCCGCACAAGCGGUGGAGCAUGUGGUUUAAUUCGAUG